GACGAUCGCAUCUUACACUUUCGCCGUUGCUCAGAGUGGAAGGGGACUCCCUGUUGCUUUCUUAUGCGGUCCCGCUUUCACGUGUCCUGAUCCGCAAGACGUCGUUUUUUGCCUCUCAAGGUGGCGAAAAGGUGGCUGCAGCCACCACCCCUCUCACCAUUCGAGUAUCAGCUCGGCUUCAGCUCUUGACGCAGCAUUUUGCUCUUUCGAUCAAAGGACAUCCUUAAUCCACCUGACCAAUCACAAGGCAAGCCCUGCUUAACUUGCAAUCCUCAGCUGCUGAAUGAAGUUCGCAGUUUUUACCGUCGCCGUUUCAGCAUCCACGCCCGGAGAGAGAAGUGGAGGUGUGUCUCGCUAGAUAGGUAUGGUUGCGCGAGCCGUACUCCACGGCUUCGGAAGACGCGACAGGCUCCGAUGAAAUACGAACCCAGAAAAACUGCGAAAUACGGGAAGCAUCCACCCGAAAUGCCCCUUCUUUGAAGUUUCGCCCUAUUAUCGAGUGAUUUGCAGUCCUCGCAUUCCGAUGUCCCUGUUUCUUGGAGAAGCUAUUUUCUCUGGCAUACACACCAGGCCCUUGAGGACGGAGAGGGACGCGGCCCCCGCGACGCCCACAUCUAUGUUCACCUCUGUUCUAUUCCCGAAGGCGUAUGAAGCAAUAUUCUGGACCAAAGACCAAACCAUGCGAAAUUCUCCGGAAAAUCCGCAAAUGCGUUAGAGCUCACGGGAGCAGCUCUAUUAGCAGAUUCCGAUACCUACAACACCGCGAUUCGCAUGCACGAGACCUUUGUUCAGGAUCUUUCUCCGGCACCCCCCCCGUCCCCGCCCCCCUGUC
RNAcentral lists this long non-coding RNA (832 nucleotides) under Toxoplasma gondii VEG. The record is from RNAcentral. Lineage: Eukaryota; Apicomplexa; Conoidasida; Eucoccidiorida; Sarcocystidae.